ACUUGCAUUUGAAAGUGAUUUUGGGUUGCCAUGUGCCCUGGUUAUUGAUAUUGUAGGGAGAGAACUGCUGAAAGUGUUUCCCCAUGUUUGGAGAGUCCAUUCUUAUCCUUCCAAAGUCUGAAACUUUCAUACA
This 133-nucleotide small nucleolar RNA is filed under the name Myotis davidii. RNAcentral describes it as "Small nucleolar RNA SNORA71". It matches the Rfam family "Small nucleolar RNA SNORA71". Rfam says of the family: The members of this family belong to the H/ACA class of snoRNAs which bind a number of proteins (including dyskerin, Gar1p and Nop10p) to form snoRNP complexes. This class of snoRNAs are thought to guide the sites of modification of uridines to pseudouridines by forming direct base pairing interactions with substrate RNAs. The record is from Rfam by way of RNAcentral. Lineage: Eukaryota; Metazoa; Chordata; Mammalia; Chiroptera; Vespertilionidae.